GACGAACGCUGGCGGCGUGCCUAACACAUGCAAGUCGAACGGGGUUACGAGAGCUUGCUCUUGUAACUUAGUGGCGAAUGGGUGAGUAACGCGCGAGGAACCUGCCUUUCAGUGGGGGACAACAGUUGGAAACGACUGCUAAUACCGCAUAAUGUGCUUAAGGGGCAUCCCUUGAGUACCAAAGCUUUAUGUGCUGGAAGAUGGCCUCGCGUCUGAUUAGAUAGUUGGUGGGGUAACGGCCCACCAAGUCGACGAUCAGUGGCCGGUCUGAGAGGAUGAACGGCCACAUUGGGACUGAGAUACGGCCCAG
Molecule: ribosomal RNA, 310 nt
Filed under: uncultured bacterium
Lineage: Bacteria
Description: bacterial SSU rRNA
Rfam family: Bacterial small subunit ribosomal RNA
Source: RNAcentral